CAAGAUAGCUGGACAGUCGCGCUAUAGCUUGACUAUGGUGAGGAAAGUCCGGGCUUCAGGGGAACAAGACACCGGAUAACGUCCGGCUGGGGUAACCCAAGGGAAAGUGCCACAGAGAUAUACCGCCGAGCUUUCAAGGUCGGUAAGGCUGAAAAGGCGAGGUAAGAGCUCACCGCGAUGAUGGCAACAUCAUUGGUCCAGGUAAACCCUGUCUGAUGCAAGACCAAGUUAGGAGCUUCUAGGUGUGUUUACACAAACCAGAUGACACGGGGUGUUCUCCCUCCGCUCCAGAGGUAGGUUGCGACGAGCUGUUUAGUGAUAAUCAGCCCAGAUGAAUGACUGUCGGUUUGAGUUUGCUCAAAUUACAGAACCCGGCUUAUAGGCUGUCUUGAUUG
RNAcentral lists this RNase P RNA (395 nucleotides) under Bacteroidales bacterium. RNAcentral's name for it is "RNase P RNA component class A". It matches the Rfam family "Bacterial RNase P class A". From Rfam's summary of the family: Ribonuclease P (RNase P) is a ubiquitous endoribonuclease, found in archaea, bacteria and eukarya as well as chloroplasts and mitochondria. Its best characterised activity is the generation of mature 5'-ends of tRNAs by cleaving the 5'-leader elements of precursor-tRNAs. The record is from RNAcentral. Lineage: Bacteria; Pseudomonadati; Bacteroidota; Bacteroidia; Bacteroidales.